This 261-nucleotide ribosomal RNA is filed under the name Escherichia coli. RNAcentral describes it as "partial 23S ribosomal RNA". It matches the Rfam family "Bacterial large subunit ribosomal RNA", at positions 1085 to 1345 of the family's 2925-position model. Lineage: Bacteria; Pseudomonadati; Pseudomonadota; Gammaproteobacteria; Enterobacterales; Enterobacteriaceae. The record is from RNAcentral.
CCAGACAGCCAGGAUGUUGGCUUAGAAGCAGCCAUCAUUUAAAGAAAGCGUAAUAGCUCACUGGUCGAGUCGGCCUGCGCGGAAGAUGUAACGGGGCUAAACCAUGCACCGAAGCUGCGGCAGCGACACUAUGUGUUGUUGGGUAGGGGAGCGUUCUGUAAGCCUGUGAAGGUGUGCUGUGAGGCAUGCUGGAGGUAUCAGAAGUGCGAAUGCUGACAUAAGUAACGAUAAAGCGGGUGAAAAGCCCGCUCGCCGGAAGAC